GUUUAAGUAUCCUCUGUGGGCGGGGAGGGUGUCACCCAGCACGAGCACCUCCUGUGUCCCUUGUCAGCGAGCCGGGCCCCACACUUGACACAACGCGGAGACUCAAUGCCCAAGAGAAGCGGGCAGACUCAGGGAAAAUGGGAUCUGCCUCCGUCUGCCAGGGUGGGUUGGAAAUCGCCUCCCGCGCGUCCUGAUGGGGUUUCUAACGGAAGUUAGGAGGAAGCCUCACCCCAGCCAUGGUCCCGCGCAACGGCUUGUAACUCCCUAAGUGGAAACUGAACCAAGAGGCACCCACUUAUUCCAUGAUUUUGGGGGUUUUGGGGGGGAAAUUGAGAUGUAAUUGGCAGUUAACAAUCA
This is a long non-coding RNA of Suricata suricatta (meerkat), 357 nucleotides long. RefSeq lists it as uncharacterized. NCBI's taxonomy places the organism in Eukaryota, Metazoa, Chordata, Mammalia, Carnivora, Herpestidae. The transcript is spliced from 2 exons. The record is from RefSeq and is a predicted model, not a curated record.